Molecule: ribosomal RNA, 1512 nt
Filed under: uncultured bacterium
Lineage: Bacteria
Description: bacterial SSU rRNA
Rfam family: Bacterial small subunit ribosomal RNA
Source: RNAcentral
AGUGAACGCUGGCGGCGUGGAUUAGGCAUGCAAGUCGUGCGAUCCUUUUACUGAUCAUGCAGUUCGACGCAAGAAGAAAUGCAUGAACUAUUUUAGGAUAGCGGCAAACGGGUGAGGAACACGUGAGUAAUUUUCCUUUAAACCAGACAUAGCUUCGUGAAAAUGGAGGUAAUAUCUGAUAAUGUCAUAGUGACAUAAGUCAUUAUGAUUAAAGACGGGGACCGUAAGGCCUGUCGUUUAAUGAUGAACUCGCGUCCUAUCAGCUUGUUGGUGAGGUAAUGGCUCACCAAGGCGUAUGACGGGUAGCUGGUCUGAGAGGAUGGUCAGCCACACUGGGACUGAGACACUGCCCAGACUCCUACGGGAGGCUGCAGUCGAGAAUAUUUAGCAAUGGGCGCAAGCCUGACUAUGCGACGCCGCGUGAAGGAUGAAGGUUUUCGGAUCGUAAACUUCUUUUGUCAAGAAAGAAAAUCUGUCAUUCAAUAUAUGGCAGACUGACGGUACUUGACGAAUAAGCCACGGCCAACUCCGUGCCAGCAGCCGCGGUAAUACGGAGGUGGCAAGCGUUACUCGGAUUCAUUGGGUGUAAAGGGCAAGUAGGUGGUCUAAUGGGUGAGGGGUGAAAUCUUCCGACUCAAUCGGAAAACUGCCUCUCAAACUAUUAGACUUGAGGAUGGAAGAGGAAAAUGGAAUUCUCAGUGUAAGGGUGAAAUCUGUAGAUAUUGAGAAGAACAUNGGCGGCGAANNCGAUUUUCUGGUCCAUUCCUGACACUGAAUUGCGAAAGCUAGGGGAGCAAACAGAAUUAGAUACUCUGGUAGUCCUAGCCGUAAACGAUGAGCACUNNGUGUUGGCCCCUNAAAANNUCAGUGCCGCAGCUAACGCAUUAAGUGCUCCACCUGGGGACUACGGCCGCAAGGUUAAAACUCAAAGGAAUUGACGGGGACCCGCACAAGCGGUGGAACAUGUGGUUCAAUUCGAUGCUACGCGAAGAACCUCACCAAGGCUUGACAUGUAAGAAGUAGUGAACUGAAAGGGGAACGACCUGUCAAAUCAGGAACUUACACAGGUGCUGCAUGGCUGUCGUCAGCUCGUGUCGUGAGAUGUUGGGUUAAGUCCCGCAACGAGCGCAACCAUUAUCUCUUGUUGCCACCUUUUUGUAUCUUCGGAUAUGGGAAGAGCACUCUAGAGAGACUGCCUGGGUUAACCAGGAGGAAGGCGGAGAUGACGUCAAGUCAGUACGGCCUUUAUGCCUUGGGCUACACACGUGUUACAAUGGUCGGUAUAAAGAGUUGCCAACCUGCGAAGGGGAGCUAAUCUCAAAAAAUCGGCCUCAGUUCAGAUUGGAGUCUGAAACUCGACUCCAUGAAGUUGGAAUCGCUAGUAAUGGCAGAUCAGCACGCUGCCGUGAAUACGUUCCCGGGUCUUGUACACACCGCCCGUCAAGCGAUGGAAGCCGGGGGUACCCGAAGUCCUACGUAGGUAGGCCGAAGGUAAAACUGGUGACUGGCGCU